UCGGUUCCCAUGAUAGAGCAGCUCCUAUAGAUGUAAUGAGAUGGGCCAGUACAUUUGUCCUUGUGUAAUAUCAAUUCGUGUCGUACAUAUUUUAAGAUUAGAAAAUGGUAAAAUAACAAAAUACCACUAAAAUUUACCAAAUAACUCUUUUACCGAAAAAGUUGACUUUUCUGUAAAAUGCUAAUAAACAGAACGCGAUCAUCUGCAAAUGAUUUCAUGAUAUUGAAAAUGGUACACAGGAAGCACUGAGGCACAUCUUGCACAUUUAUAAAGCACCAUUAAUGCUGACCCAUUAUUUCUCCAAGACAAUGCAUUUUGUCACAACAGCACGGCUGUUAAUCUGACCAACCUGCAGUGCAGACCUAUUACUAAACGAAAACAAAAGAUAUGACAAAGGAGGCUCUAAACUGUGAAACAUUAGAAAUCUUAUUUUUUUAAAAAGUAAGAUUAAUAAAAUAUUUCACUUUUAGAACUACAGCAGCUGGUGUCCUCAGUUCUAAAAUUAUGCAAGUUAGUGGAAAACAUUGUGUCUUUGGGACAAGAGACAUCAUAUUUAAAACAGACACGUUUUCAAAAAUAUCUAGAAAAAUGACCAGUUAUAACAUUGGAUAUGUUGUCCUUGCAUCCAUUUUCAAAUAAAUAUGGGUCUUUAAAUUAUUUGCAUAUCAUUGCACUCUUUUUAAUUAUAUUUUAAACUGGUUUGUUUUUGGGAGGGGGGAAACACGAUUGUGAAAUAGCUGUGUUUUGGAGGUUUACCCUCCUAUUCAUUACAUAAAUAUGGGUGAUUAUCAAAGGUCGACUGACUGAACUGCAAUUCAAUAUUUAAUGAUUGUUUUGCUAAUGUGUCUUAGCAAGAUUUUCAUGCGGUGUUAUGUUGCAAAUGAAUGUUUUAAAAAUGACUAAACACUUGAAGAAAAGCUGCUUGUUAGAGUGCAAGCAAAGUGCUGCCAAGCAUCAAGUGUGGUGUAAAGCAGGAGCUCAUGCAUAUGCAUAGAUUACGCAAGAGUAGUCGGACUACGUUCAAAUGAGUGAUUGUGUUAGAAGGGCUUUGGGAAACUUGUAUCAAAGGGGGCGGCUCGCAAAAGUGGUAAACACUCCUGACUAUUGUUGAUGGGAGGUUAACAGAAUAAGCCUCGUGUGUUUUUAAUUAAGUUGAUAUUCUAAAACACACAAAAAACGACCCUCACUAGUAUCGAGCCGCUGCUAAACACUCCAGUCGUGGCAGGAAACUGUCACACGACUUUCAUCAAUACAUACAGGUUUUUAAUCCCUGAGAUAGUUAUUAUCAUUCCUUUUAUAUGACUGUGAUACAAUAAAACACUGCAGGUGCAGAACUGCCUUAUAGAAAAUAAGCCCACAGAUCAUGAUUGUGUGUAAUCUGUACUGCUAGCAAACAUGUCGUGUGUUCAUUGUAGUAAUAAAAAAGCAGCUGUUCAUUCAUCAGUUUUACAGUGAAGGUGGGAAUCAUUUAACUUUUCAGCACAAAUAUUCAUACGAUAUAUGUGGUAGUGUCCUGUACAGCAACUGUAUGCAGCAUCAAUCAGAAAGCCGCCAUCACUGAGCUUUAGACUGGAUGGUGUCCACAUUAAUCAAACAGCUCACACAGCUGCAGUUGAAGUUUAGGGUGCAUUUAGCUGUUAGUGGCUAAUAUAACCUAAAAGACAGAAACAAGGAGCUAAUUUAUCAGAUUUGUGCAGCUCCCGCUAAUAACAAAAAGCUUUUGUGAUUUAAGACUUAAGAAACCCUUAAAGCAGCUGAUUGAUACGCUUUGGGGUUUUUAUAGCACUAUGAAGCAUCCAUAUACACGCUGUUUCUAUUUUGACCAAGGCUCCCGAUCUCCUGUUGAUGUAAACAAUGCAGUAUAUUUAAAACAUAAAAAAAAAGCUUUGCAAUUCUUUUAUUUUGGAGAAAAAGCACUCAAUACUCCACAGGGCUUAUUUUAAAACUGAAACUCUGUGACCACUGCUGCACAUCACACACUUCUUUACGUAUUUCAGGUAGUCUUAAAAUGCUCAGUGGUGGAGCUUCCCUUCUUUUUGGGUAGAGUUUUCAGUACAUCAGUAUUCUUUCAAAUGAGUCCAUCUCCUUCCCCCGUAAUUGCUUGCUGCACCUUGAGGCUGGUAACAAGAGUGAUGACAAGCAAAGAAAGUGAAAUUGGCUUAUUGAGUUGCAGCCAAACUGUUCUCUUUGUAGUAUGCCUCGUUUGUUCUUAUGUACUUUUCUGUCCUUGCCUUUUGUCGGCGGCCUGGCCUUAUCCAUCACUGUCACAGCAAAGAGGGACUGAACAAUAAAGAGUAUCGCAUCUACGCUACCAACACUUCUGUGUCACUUACUGUCAUUGUUAACAUUGUCGCUCGCGUUCACGGAUGAAAGCAAAUCGGCCACUACAUUUGUUGCAUAAUAAGCUCAGAAUGCGAAGUCAUGUCAGAGUGCAUUUAUGCACGCAUGCAGAUGGUGUGUGCGUGCAAUUUAAAUACAGAUUAGGUGUGUAGUAAAGCGUAGAUGUGUUUAUAUUGCGAGAUGAACUCAUCAGUCCUCCCAUCACAUUCUCUCUGUGAACCGUAUGCAUACAUGGAUGGAUGCUGUGGAUUUGAUUUUCGCUGCAUCUGUUUUCCUCUUGGUUUAAUGAAUACUUAACCUUCACUGCCUCACUAAGCAUUCUCUGAGCUUUUGGGAAACACAGUUCCCUGUUUCUGGGUUUGCUGUGCUCAAUUGGAAUAGAGGGAAAAUUUAAAAAAAGAACAGCAAGGGUGUACAAAAUGCUUGUCGUCCAUUGACCGGAAAAUUGGUUACAAGCCCGUUUAGGAUGUGGAUGGCUGCUUAAACAUUAUUUGGCUGCAUGUAAGUCAAGAACACCGAGCGUUGAGCACGAGACAUGUUCUCUAACAUUUCUAUUGUUUUAAUGGAAUAAAAUUGCCGGGCUUGGCUUUGGCUUUUAUGAGAUUAAAAAAACCUAAGUGGUGCAAAC
Molecule: long non-coding RNA, 2968 nt
Organism: Astatotilapia calliptera (eastern happy)
Lineage: Eukaryota; Metazoa; Chordata; Actinopteri; Cichliformes; Cichlidae
Source: Ensembl